Long non-coding RNA from Triticum dicoccoides, 1477 nucleotides. RefSeq lists it as uncharacterized. The transcript is spliced from 6 exons. NCBI's taxonomy places the organism in Eukaryota, Viridiplantae, Streptophyta, Magnoliopsida, Poales, Poaceae. The record is from RefSeq and is a predicted model, not a curated record.
GUCUAGUGGGCAUGAGUCAUGUUUGAUAUAGUUAUCAUUUCUAUGGUUAAAGCUGACCAUUUUGUAGGAAGACGUAUGGGUUCUCGUCAAAUGCAAGCUGUACUACUGUGAAAAAGUGUACUAAUUUUUGCAGUGCAUUAACUUGAUCAUGGGAUUCUCCGCCAUGGCAGCAAAGAGACAACAUGGGGUGGAGAUGCAGGUCGUCAUUACACUGAAGGCAUUGCGUUCUGUCAGGGCGUUGGGUUCGAUGCAGAGCAUCGGAGACGUUGCCGUUGUCCUUGCACGACUCAUCAGAUCCAACCUCAGGCCCGCGCCAGCUAUGUACGGAGCCCUCGAUACGGUGCUCAGUCUCUGCAACUGCAACUCGAUGCCUUGCAUGAAGCUGCCAGCUAUUGAGGCCCUCUCUUAAUUACCCAGUUCUGAAUGGAGUCAGUUGAGGUCGUCUAUAAAUUUCCUUGUGAUGUGCUUGCAAACCAAGACUUUGUUGAGGCUUUUCUGCGGGGUCAGGGGAGACGCCAGUGAUCAAGCGGCAGCGGCCUACAGCCUGGGAGACCUGCACAAGGGAGCCGCCAAGAUCUCCAACGACAUCCUCGACUCUGUCGGGGUUUCAUUAUAUGCAACAACAAAAAAUUCGACAACAGUAUACGCGACAAAUGGUGCUAUUUGCGUCUGCUGCAAUCUCCUCAUACUUACCAGGGUUGAGUGCCCAACAUUUCCGAAGAUGGCACCCGAGACGUGUCCGCAGCCAGAAGCAGCGAAGUUGCGGUACAAGAAGCUGGAAGAUUCAGAUCUCCUUAUUAGCGAGAUAACUCUUGGAACAGUAUGUGCAGAGCUGAACCUUCAUGUUUCUGUUGUUGUUGUUGGUCCAGUUUUUUUACAUCUUAGUCUAAUGUUUACUUCUCUUAGAUGAUCUUUGGAUAGCAAAUAACAGAGAAGCCAUCCCAUGAUAUGCUCUCUUAUUCUUUUAAUCAGGGCAUCAACAUACUGGACACCGCAGAAAUUGCCGACAACUUUGGCUCCAAAGUUUGCUUUAUGUCUUCAGGCUAGAUAGGUAUGUCGCACGUUACGGUGAAUUCAGUUACAAUUCAACCAAAUGGAGGCCAAGCGUCCCAUGUGUGGAUCAAUGGAAAGCUUUUAGGAACUAAUUGGUAAAGGGAAGGUAGAAUAUAUCGGUGUUUCCAAUGAAACCACGUACGGAGUAAUGCAGUUUGUACAUGCUGCAAAGCUUGAUGGACUUCCAAAGAUUAUGAGCAUCUAGAAUGGUUAUAGUCAACUUGUGAGAUGCAGCUUCGAAGGUGAAACAGAGAUGUCAUCCAUAAUUUAUUCAUUUUCAUUCACUGGAAUUCCAUGCCAUCCCUGUUGUUCUGAAACUUAUUUGCAGCCAUGUAAUUUAGAGAAAGAGGGAGGAAAGAACUCCUCGGUUGUAGUUCAGAUCAUCGGCCUGCUGUCAUCUCUUUCAUAAUUAAAAUUUUAGUCG